RNAcentral lists this long non-coding RNA (449 nucleotides) under Elaeis guineensis (African oil palm). Its description in RNAcentral is "long non-coding RNA (EGUI_LNC047749)". The record is from RNAcentral. Lineage: Eukaryota; Viridiplantae; Streptophyta; Magnoliopsida; Arecales; Arecaceae.
CACAUUUCCCCUCAAGACAACUCUUAUGCUCCCAUGAUCCCUCCUCAUUCCUCUCAACAACAUUCCAUCCCAUGUCAGAUGAAUGAUUUUGAGUGCUCCACAAUUACUCAUUGCCACUUUCCAUUGGCUUCUUUAAGAGUGAUGUCUAAAGGUAUUAAAUAGUAAGGUUUUCCAUGUCGGAAUUGGACCUCAUGUUGGUCGGUUGGCAAUAUGGUUCAGUAUGCCCUUGUAUCGUUCUGUACAAGGCCCAACAUGACAAAGAAAGUGGGGAAGGAGAAUAGGAGAGGAAAAGAUAGAGAGGGGGAGGGAAAGUGAGGGAGGGAAGCAAAGGGAGAUGACAGAGAUGUCGGUGGUGGCCGUCGAAGGGCCAUGGAGGCCCUUGGGUGAUCGGAGGAGCAAGAAACUUUAAACAGACCGAAUUGAGAGAGAGGGGGGGAUGGAGGGAGAGG